UACGGAGGGUGCAAGCGUUAUCCGGAUUCACUGGGUUUAAAGGGUGCGUAGGUGGGUCUGUAAGUCAGUGGUGAAAUCUCCGAGCUUAACUCGGAAACUGCCAUUGAUACUAUAGGUCUUGAAUUAUCUGGAGGUAAGCGGAAUAUGUCAUGUAGCGGUGAAAUGCUUAGAUAUGACAUAGAACACCAAUUGCGAAGGCAGCUUACUACGGAUCGAUUGACACUGAGGCACGAAAGCGUGGGGAUCAAACAGG
This 253-nucleotide ribosomal RNA is filed under the name uncultured bacterium. RNAcentral's name for it is "partial 16S ribosomal RNA". It matches the Rfam family "Bacterial small subunit ribosomal RNA", at positions 524 to 776 of the family's 1533-position model. The record is from RNAcentral.